Molecule: ribosomal RNA, 1528 nt
Filed under: uncultured bacterium
Lineage: Bacteria
Description: bacterial SSU rRNA
Rfam family: Bacterial small subunit ribosomal RNA
Source: RNAcentral
GACGAACGCUGGCGGCGUGCCUAAUACAUGCAAGUCGAGCGGAGUUCCCACUUUGAAAGCUUGCUUUCAAAGUAACUUAGCGGCGGACGGGUGAGUAACACGUAGGCAACCUGCCCUUCAGACUGGGAUAACUACCGGAACGAACGGUAGCUAAUACCGGAUAAUUUCUUUUUUCUCCUGAGAGAAGAAUGAAAGACGGAGCAAUCUGUCACUGAGGGAUGGGCCUGCGGCGCACUUUUAGCUAGUUGGUGGGGUAACGGCCCACCAAGGCGACGAUGCGUAGCCGACCUGAGAGGGUGAACGGCCACACUGGGACUGAGACACGGCCGUUCAGACUCCUACGGGAGGCAGCAGUAGGGAAUCUUCCGCAAUGGGCGAAAGCCUGACGGAGCAACGCCGCGUGAGUGAUGAAGGUUUUCGGAUCUUCGUAAAGCUCUGUUGCCAGGGAAGAACGUCCGGUAGAGUAACUGCUACCGGAGUGACGGUACCUGAGAAGAAAGCCCCGGCUAACUACGUAGAGCCAGCAGCCGCGGUAAUACGUAGGGGGCAAGCGUUGUCCGGAAUUAUUGGGCGUAAAGCGCGCGCAGGCGGCUAUUUAAGUCUGGUGUUUUGCAAACCUUGGGCUCAACCUGAGGUCGCACUGGAAACUGGGUGGCUUGAGUACAGAAGAGGAAAGUGGAAUUCCACGUGUAGCGGUGAAAUGCGCGGUAGAUAUGUGGAGGAACACCAGUGGCGAAGGCGACUUUCUGGGCUGUAACUGACGCUGAGGCGCGAAAGCGUGGGGAGCAAACAGGAUUAGUGGAUACCCUGGUAGUCCACGCCGUAAACGAUGAGUGCUAGGUGUUAGGGGUUUCGAUACCCUUGGUGCCGAAGUUAACACAGUAAGCACUCCUCAGCCUGGGGAGUACGGUCGCAAGACUGAAACUCAAAGGAAUUGACGGGGACCCGCACAAGCAGUGGAGUAUGUGGUUUAAUUCGAAGCAACGGUACGAAGAACCUUACCAGGUCUUGACAUCCCUCUGAAUCUGCUAGAGAUAGCAGCGGCCUUCGGGACAGAGGAGACAGGUGGUGCAUGGUUGUCUGCGUCAGCUCGUGUCGUGAGAUGUUGGGUUAAGUCCCGCAACGAGCGCAACCCUUAACUUUAGUUGCCAGCAGGUAAGGCUGGGCACUCUAGCUGAGUGACUGCCGGUGACAAACCGGAGGAAGGUGGGGAUGACGUCAAAUCAUCAUGCCCCUUAUGACCUGGGCUACACACGUACUACAAUGGCUUACGGUACAACGGGAAGCGAAGCCGCGAGGUGGAGCCAAUCCCAUCAAAGCCGGUCUCAGUUCGGAUUGCAGGCUGCAACUCGCCUGCAUGAAUAUGUCGGAAUUGCUAGUAAUCGCGGAUCAGCAUGCCGCGGUGAAUACGUUCCCGGGUCUUGUACACACCGCCCGUCACACCACGAGAGUUUACUGAAACACCCGAAGUCGGUGGGGUAACCCGCAAGGGAGCCAGCCGCCGAAGGUGGGGUAGAUGAUUGGGGUG